This 387-nucleotide long non-coding RNA is filed under the name Physcomitrium patens. Its description in RNAcentral is "long non-coding RNA (PPAT_LNC012978)". The record is from RNAcentral. Lineage: Eukaryota; Viridiplantae; Streptophyta; Bryopsida; Funariales; Funariaceae.
AAAAGCCUCCAAAAAUUGCACCAAUGUCACUUGGCCGCCAACUUGAAAAGUGAAUCAAAAAUCCUAGCAAUUAUUUCUCCUUCUUCAACUAUUAACUUUGUCUCAAAAUUGGUGUGUAGCUUGAUCUUUAAGUCCUUCAAGACCAUGUCAAUUUUCAUCUUAAUCCGAUUGAUAGAUCUUUAGAUAUCAUAGAAACUCUACCCAACUUCAAACUGCCACCUUCUAAAACCCUCUUGUGCUAAAAACUAGAUAUCUCUAAACCACGCCGUUAGAUUAUCACAAAAUUUUUUCCACACUUAGCACAUCCAAUAAUCCAAAAAAUAUUAAAUUUUCAACCAUAGAUGUCAUGUCAAUUGCACGAACUAGCCAAAAUUGCUAGCCCUAAUU